RNAcentral lists this small nuclear RNA (98 nucleotides) under Sorex araneus (European shrew). The record is from RNAcentral. Lineage: Eukaryota; Metazoa; Chordata; Mammalia; Eulipotyphla; Soricidae.
UUGCUUUAGCAGCAAACACACUAACAGGAACAACACUGAGAAGAUUAGCAUGGCUCCUGCACUGGGAUAUUCAAAUCUAUGAAGCAUCCACAUUAUUC